This 440-nucleotide ribosomal RNA is filed under the name uncultured bacterium. Its description in RNAcentral is "partial 16S ribosomal RNA". It matches the Rfam family "Bacterial small subunit ribosomal RNA", at positions 338 to 795 of the family's 1533-position model. The record is from RNAcentral.
CCUACGGGCGGCAGCAGUGGGGGAUAUUGCACAAUGGGGGGAACCCUGAUGCAGCGACGCCGCGUGGGUGAAGAAGCGCCUCGGCGCGUAAAGCCCUGUCAGCAGGGAAGAAAAUGACGGUACCUGACGAAGAAGCCCCGGCUAACUCCGUGCCAGCAGCCGCGGUAAUACGUAGGGGGCAAGCGUUAUCCGGAUUUACUGGGUGUAAAGGGGGCGCAGACGGCGAUGCAAGCCAGGAGUGAAGGCCCGGGGCCCAACCCCGGGACUGCUCUUGGAACUGCGUGGCUGGAGUGCAGGAGGGGCAGGCGGAAUUCCUGGUGUAGCGGUGAAAUGCGUAGAUAUCAGGAGGAACACCGGUGGCGAAGGCGGCCUGCUGGACUGCAACUGACGUUGAGGCCCGAAAGCGUGGGGAGCAAACAGGAUUAGAUACCCGGGUAGUC